This 429-nucleotide ribosomal RNA is filed under the name uncultured bacterium. Its description in RNAcentral is "bacterial SSU rRNA". It matches the Rfam family "Bacterial small subunit ribosomal RNA", at positions 29 to 478 of the family's 1533-position model. The record is from RNAcentral.
AACGAACGCUGGCGGCGUGGAUAAGACAUGCAAGUCGAACGAGAGAAUUGCUAGCUUGCUAAUAAUUCUCUAGUGGCGCACGGGUGAGUAACACGUGAGUAACCUGCCCCCGAGAGCGGGAUAGCCCUGGGAAACUGGGAUUAAUACCGCAUAGUAUCGAAAGAUUAAAGCAGCAAUGCGCUUGGGGAUGGGCUCGCGGCCUAUUAGUUAGUUGGUGAGGUAACGGCUCACCAAGGCGAUGACGGGUAGCCGGUCUGAGAGGAUGUCCGGCCACACUGGAACUGAGACACGGUCCAGACACCUACGGGUGGCAGCAGUCGAGAAUCAUUCACAAUGGGGGAAACCCUGAUGGUGCGACGCCGCGUGGGGGAAUGAAGGUCUUCGGAUUGUAAACCCCUGUCAUGUGGGAGCAAAUUAAAAAGAUAGUAC